Molecule: long non-coding RNA, 222 nt
Filed under: Nicotiana benthamiana
Lineage: Eukaryota; Viridiplantae; Streptophyta; Magnoliopsida; Solanales; Solanaceae
Description: long non-coding RNA (NBEN_LNC016729)
Source: RNAcentral
AAAACUGUAGAAAAGGGUCUUUCCUUGAAAAUGUCCCCGAACAUCAAGUUGAUACAAUGAGUCGCACAUGGAGUCCAAUAGACAUUCUUGUACGCUCCUUCAAUCAUGCCACCCGCUUUCUUGUUUUUACUUGCAUUAUCAGUGACCACUUGAACAACUUUGCUUGGACCAAUAUUUUCGAUGGUGUUCUGAAACAAGGUGAACAUUUUGAUGUGGUCGGUG